UUGAGCCGUAUGUGCUGAAAGGUACAAGUACGGUUCUUAGGGGAGAAAGAGUUGGUAACACCUCUGACUUACCCGACU
This is a non-coding RNA of Bacillus anthracis (anthrax bacterium), 78 nucleotides long. The record is from Rfam. NCBI's taxonomy places the organism in Bacteria, Bacillati, Bacillota, Bacilli, Caryophanales, Bacillaceae.